Molecule: ribosomal RNA, 623 nt
Filed under: uncultured bacterium
Lineage: Bacteria
Description: bacterial SSU rRNA
Rfam family: Bacterial small subunit ribosomal RNA
Source: RNAcentral
AGAGUUUGAUCCUGGCUCAGAACGAACGCUGGCGGCAGGCCUAACACAUGCAAGUCGAACGAAGGCUUCGGCCUUAGUGGCGCACGGGUGAGUAACGCGUGGGAACGUGCCUUUUGGUUCGGGAUAACACCGGGAAACUGGUGCUAAUACCGGGUAAGCCCUCCGGGGGAAAGAUUUAUCGCCGAAAGAGCGGCCCGCGUCUGAUUAGGUAGUUGGUGGGGUAAUGGCCUACCAAGCCGACGAUCAGUAGCUGGUCUGAGAGGAUGAUCAGCCACACUGGGACUGAGACACGGCCCAGACUCCUACGGGAGGCAGCAGUGGGGAAUAUUGGACAAUGGGCGCAAGCCUGAUCCAGCCAUGCCGCGUGAGUGAUGAAGGCCUUAGGGUUGUAAAGCUCUUUCGCACGCGACGAUGAUGACGGUAGCGUGAGAAGAAGCCCCGGCUAACUUCGUGCCAGCAGCCGCGGUAAUACGAAGGGGGCUAGCGUUGUUCGGAAUUACUGGGCGUAAAGGGCGCGUAGGCGGCGUAUCAAGUCAGAUGUGAAAGCCCCGGGCUUAACCUGGGAACAGCAUUUGAGACUGGUAUGCUUGAGUGCCGGAGAGGUGGGUGGAAUUCCCAGUGUA